GGGAGAUUCUUAACAUCUACAUUUCUUCGAAGUAAUUGUUUUAAUAAUACCGUAAUUUUUUUUUUUUUUUUUUGCAGCGCUGAGAACUGACCCCAGAGCCUCAGGCAGACAAUAGAAGGAAAUGGAAGAUUGGCUCUGAAAGGUUAAUUUACUUCUCUAAAGUCACAGUGUUGGAGCGGCUAUACCAAGGAUUUUUCGAAGCUCGACAGUCAAGCGCUCACCGAGCCCACUGACACUAAAUGGCAGGGUAAUACUUUUUAAUCUGUCCCCCAACCCUUGACUCCUAUACGGCCUCUUCUUGCUUUGUCUCUUACAUGCUUUUCCCUUUGUCUUCACCCUCGAC
This 343-nucleotide long non-coding RNA is filed under the name Heterocephalus glaber (naked mole-rat). RNAcentral's name for it is "lncRNA (ENSHGLG00000050010.1)". The record is from RNAcentral. Lineage: Eukaryota; Metazoa; Chordata; Mammalia; Rodentia; Bathyergidae.